CCUACGGGGGGCAGCAGUGGGGAAUAUUGCGCAAUGGGCGAAAGCCUGACGCAGCGACGCCGCGUGAGGGAUGAAGGUCUUCGGAUCGUUAACCUCUGUCAGUAGGGAAGAACGGUCACUGUGCUAAUCAGCAGUGAAUUGACGGUACCUGCAAAGGUAGCACCGGCUAAAUCCGUGCCAGCAGCCGCGGUAAUACGGAGGGUGCUUGCGUUAAUCGGAAUUACUGGGCGUAAAGCGCGCGUAGGCGGUAUGUCAAGUCAAGGGUGAAAUCCCCGGGCUCAACGUGGGAACUGCCUUUGAUACUGGCAAACUGGAGUGUGUGAGAGGAUAGUGGAAUUCGAGGUGUAGGAGUGAAAUGCGUAGAUAUCUGGAGGAACAUCAGUGGCGAAGGCGACUAUCUGGCACAUAACUGACGCUGAGGAGCGAAAGCGUGGGUAGCAAACAGGAUUAGAUACCCUUGUAGUC
RNAcentral lists this ribosomal RNA (465 nucleotides) under uncultured bacterium. Its description in RNAcentral is "partial 16S ribosomal RNA". It matches the Rfam family "Bacterial small subunit ribosomal RNA", at positions 338 to 795 of the family's 1533-position model. The record is from RNAcentral.